RNAcentral lists this ribosomal RNA (322 nucleotides) under uncultured prokaryote. RNAcentral describes it as "bacterial SSU rRNA". It matches the Rfam family "Bacterial small subunit ribosomal RNA", at positions 26 to 352 of the family's 1533-position model. The record is from RNAcentral.
AGAUUGAACGCUAGCGGCAUGCCUAACACAUGCAAGUCCAACGUGAAAGGGGAGCAAUCCCCCGGUAGGGUGGCAAACGGGUGAGUAAUGCGUAGGAAUCUACCCACGAGUGGGGGAUAGCCCGGAGAAAUCCGGAUUAAUACCGCAUAUGCCCUACGGGUAAAGCGGGGAGUCGUAAGACCUCGCGCUGGUGGAUGAGCCUACGUCCGAUUAGUUAGUUGGUGGGGUAAAGGCCUACCAAGGCUACGAUCGGUAGCUGGUCUGAGAGGAUGAUCAGCCACACUGGGACUGAGACACGGCCCAGACUCCUACGGGAGGCAGC